AAUGAUACGAUAGGUAAAAUAUAGCAGAUUAUAAGAAAUGCUAGAGCACUACUGCCUCCUUAGGGCCCUUGAAACACAAGGCCUGGAGGCAUGUGCUAUGCAAAACAAUGAUCGCAGUGGCAUCCUCUGCGGAGAGGAGGCGCUACGAACGCAUUGGACUAAUAACAUGUAAGACCACAUCUCUGAUGAAACCUAGGACUGUGUCUGUAUUAAAAAGUGGUUCUGGACCAAGAAGCAUUGCAGGAUGAAGAGGAAUGUGCUGUCGGUAUGCUAAUGAAAAAUGUCUCUUUCUCUCAGAUUCGGCUUCCCGACACUCCAGGAGGACGUGGAGUACGGUCAGCCUCUCCCCGCAUCUACCACAGGUUGGAGGCUCACUUCCCAAGACAACACUGCGUAGGCCUCGGCCGUGAAGAUACUUGUUUCCGGAUGUAGUACACCAGAUUCUGAGAAGGAUGGGCCGAAGGCAGCAUAACACACCCCGGCAUUUGGCUUUGAAGCGUCUGUGUAGAACUCUGCGCAGGAGUGCUUGUGCUGGAGUUCUAGGAAAUGGGUGUACUCGCCCUUGACCCUCAGCGCAGACUGGAAGGCCCCAUCGUCAGCAACCACACUUAACGUGCCAACUAUAUAUGAGCAGCGACGACCGUCCACCGCGCCUUGUGGGCUCGGUGGCUGUGCCACAACACAGUUGUCUUAUCCACUCGUCUUCGC
Molecule: long non-coding RNA, 708 nt
Organism: Dermacentor albipictus
Lineage: Eukaryota; Metazoa; Arthropoda; Arachnida; Ixodida; Ixodidae
Source: RefSeq, a predicted model, not a curated record